GACGAACGCUGGCGGCGUGCUUAACACAUGCAAGUCGAACGGAAAGGCCCUGCGUUUGUGGGGUGAUCGAGUGGCGAACGGGUGAGUAACACGUGAGUAACCUGCCCUUGACUUUGGGAUAACUUCAGGAAACGGGGGCUAAUACCGGAUAGGAGCUCCUGCUGCAUGGUGGGGGUUGGAAAGUUUCGGCGGUUGGGGAUGGACUCGCGGCUUAUCAGCCUGUUGGUGGGGUAGUGGCUGACCAAGGGUGUGACGGGUAGCCGGCCUGAGAGGGUGACCGGCCACAUUGGGACUGAGAUACGGCCCAGACUCCUACGGGAGGCAGCAGUGGGGAAUAUUGCACAAUGGGCGGAAGCCUGAUGCAGCAACGCCGCGUGCGGGAUGACGUCCUUCGGGUUGUAAACCGCUUUCGCCUGUGACGAAGCGUGAGUGACGGUAAUGGGUAAAGAAGCACCGGCUAACUACGUG
RNAcentral lists this ribosomal RNA (468 nucleotides) under uncultured bacterium. Its description in RNAcentral is "partial 16S ribosomal RNA". It matches the Rfam family "Bacterial small subunit ribosomal RNA", at positions 28 to 507 of the family's 1533-position model. The record is from RNAcentral.